RNAcentral lists this long non-coding RNA (650 nucleotides) under Salvia miltiorrhiza (redroot sage). Its description in RNAcentral is "long non-coding RNA (SMIL_LNC013166)". Lineage: Eukaryota; Viridiplantae; Streptophyta; Magnoliopsida; Lamiales; Lamiaceae. The record is from RNAcentral.
AUUCUCAAUGAAAAAACUUGAUGAAAAAAUAAUUUAUAUACAGAAAUAUUAUUAAAUCGAUUGAAAAUUGACAACCUAAAAAGGAUAGAAAUAUUGUGAUUUUCUAAUUUGAAAACACAAAAGAUAUGGAACAAUUCCAUUCCAUUAAAAAAUAAAUGAAUACCUCUCUUCUUAAAUAAACAAGUUAAAAAGAACAUUAACAUGAAGUCCUCUCCCCAGUUGAGGCAAACGCAUUGGUUACUCCGCCAAUUCUGUGAGAAGGCCAGAUAAUAUGCGUGACGCGCCCACAAACCAAACCCAGAGGAAUCUGCCACAAAAUUUUGGACAAGGAAGUAGGAACUUACAACUCUUGUCUUACACGAAUCUAAACACAAUCAAACAUCAACAAACUUUUCAAUGGAUAUAUACCUAUACAAGUGUUGUAUGGAUUUCUGUCUGUAUGGACAACUUACUCAACAAUUCUAUUGAAAUCAACACCACACAUAUCUUAACCAAUGGAAAAUAUAUUUCUAAUCUCCAAAGAAUGCCAAAAUAAUACUCCCACCAUCCCCCAAAUCUUUACACCUUUGAGAAUGACACGAGUUAUAAUAAAAUGGUUGAAUGAGUUGUAAAUGAAAUAAGAGUCUCACUUUUAUUAUAAAGUUGUGUAG